GCCAAGAAGAUCAUAACCUUUAACAAGCUUUGAAACUGAAGUUUCCAAGCAAGGUAAUUUGAUCUUGUGAGCUUUAGAGGAGCUUGUGCAGCUACAUUAAAUGUUACUAAUUGUAUAGAUGUAUCACUCAUUGUGGAAGAGAAGAAAAAGAAGAAAGGAAAAGGAUCAAGAGACGUUUGUCUUGGAGCUCUGAUACCAUAAAAGACUAAAACAAUGUUACUGCAACAGAUAUAUUUU
RNAcentral lists this long non-coding RNA (237 nucleotides) under Jatropha curcas. RNAcentral's name for it is "long non-coding RNA (JCUR_LNC002335)". The record is from RNAcentral. Lineage: Eukaryota; Viridiplantae; Streptophyta; Magnoliopsida; Malpighiales; Euphorbiaceae.